Long non-coding RNA from Bacillus rossius redtenbacheri, 2664 nucleotides. RefSeq lists it as uncharacterized. The transcript is spliced from 2 exons. The record is from RefSeq and is a predicted model, not a curated record. Lineage: Eukaryota; Metazoa; Arthropoda; Insecta; Phasmatodea; Bacillidae.
AUAUAUAUAUAUAUAUAUAUAUAUAUAUAUAUAUAUAUGUGUGUGUGUGUGUGUGUGUGUCAUGGUUGUAUAAUAUGCUGAACUGAAAUGUGCCAGUAAACAUUGAGGGUAAUGUUUGUCAAUUUUGAAUGACAUAGGCCUGAGAUGGGUCUGUUCUUCAGAAAUGAAGCAAAGUGCUAUGAACUACAUUUUGCUGUUGUGCUAAUGGCCUCUCCCUGUUGUACUGAACUGACAGUUUGAACUCUGAAGAGGUUUUAGUACACCAGCUCAAUGUCAUUGCAUGUCAUCUUUCUUCUUUUAUAACUGCCCCACUCAUCCAGAAAUUGUGCAUUUUACACAUUGUUCAAUUUAAGUUUUCACUUGGUGUUGUGAAAUACCGAGUGGAAUGAAUUAAAGAAUAUUUUGGAUAUCAGUACAUGUAAUUUUGUGUGCAAUAGUGGUCACAUGUUUAUUUUUGACUUGUACUUAUGUAUAUACUUAUUCUAGUCUCCAGUAAAAAUAAGGCUUAAACUUUCUUCAGAAUGGUAAAUUUUAAUUUGCUUGGUUCAUAACUGAUGAACAGUUACUGCUAUGAACCUUUUUAUUUAAAAAUGCCCUGACACUGGUUUGAAUUAUGUGAUGAAAUAUUGACAGUUGUAUGACGUGUCUGAAUCAGUGCACAAAUAUUAAAAAUAGCCUUGUUGAAGGCAUUAUUUUUAACACCUAUGUUAGUCUUUUCUGGAAUGUGUGUGUCCUUGGUAUUUGAACAAACACCAAAAUAUCUAUGGAAAUUAAAAAGUCAUACUGUUUUGUUGAAUGUUUUUUUUUAAGUUAUGAAUUUUAGAGAACAUUUUUAUUUACUACUUUUUAUUUUUCUGUGAUCUAUAAAUGAUUUGUGGCGUACAAAUUUAAAUUGCACUGAUUUGAUAUUUGCGAAUAUGACUGAAUAUUAUAAGGGAACCAAUCUGAAAAAUGUAAUUAGGCUACUGCUUGUGGCUGGAUAAGAAGUGGAUCAUCAAAUAUUGUGCAGGUAAUAUACAAUACUGUAAUGUACUGUAGUUUAUUGUGAUCGUAGCAAUGUGUUUUAUGUAAAGUAGUUUUGUUGCAUCCUAGCUGUAAUGGUUGUAGUUUGUAGUGUGUGAAUGCUAAAUAAGUUCUGCUCACAAUCUAUGUCAAGGUAGAAGCAUGAGGUGUAAGUUGACUGGUGUAGCAUUUUAGCAUUGAUACCCAGCGCCAAUGUAAGGUGGUAUUUGUGCUGCAGCAUUUCAGUUGUGUGGCUGUGCUGUAUAAACAGGGUUUAGUAUGGGGUGUGAAAUCUAGUGAAUGGCUGUCAACAAUUUGAGCUUGACUUACGAGGUACCAGUAUAUAGAAUGCUGUUUUACAAUUGUGCUACUCUGCACAACAAAGUAUAAGGGGUAAUUUCAUGUGCAGUGUGUGCACCAUGCCUGCUGGCAUGUUGUGUCAACGUGGUCAUGCCAGAAAAUACGUUGAAGCUGCUGUGUGGCAGGAAUCACAUUGUGCUACGUGCUAAUACGUCUUUUCUCACCACAUAAACUCCAGAAGUCCCUGCAGUCAUGUGGAUACUGUACGACCAAGAGACAGUUGAGACUACACAUUUACUGUUCCUGGAAUUGGCUACUUCAUACUCUGCAUUAUAAAAAUACAGUUGUGGAACUACCUUUUUAAACUAUUGGUGGUUUCCUAGAAAGUGUAAGAUUCCCGUUGAUGCUGUCGUCGUUUCAUAGCAAGUGUAAGGUUCCUGUUGAUGCUUUUCGUCGUAACCUGUGAAUUGGCACUAAACAUAACAACUUAAUGACAGUUGGGAGUCUGGCAGUUAAAACAUCAAAACAGGUUGUGCUAAACAUGAAAAAAAAUUAUGUACCUAAUAUUGGUGUCAUGUUCAAGUUAUUCAAGAUUUCACAGUAUCUCAUUGUUAAAAAAAGGCACAAGAUGUAUUUAACUUAUAUUAAAAACAUUUACAUAAUUGAUACAAACAAUAUUAGGUUCUACUUAUACACACAUUGUAAAAUACCUGUCUUUAAAGUAAUUUUCUAUUAGAAGAAACUUGGCUGCUAUUGGCUAUAAAAUAGUUACACAUAAUGCAGUUGGAACUUAUGUGCUUUGGAAUACGUGCACAUUAACAAGCUUGAUGCAGUGCAUCUGUUAAAAUCUGGUAACAUAACAUGUUUACAUGGCGGAUGGGAGAUGCAACAUGCCGAAGAAAAGCAGCUUCACCUUAACACUUAGGAAGUUAGCUGCAAUGUCCACGACACAUUGUGUGUGCCCAGCUCCCUGCAUGGUACCCCUCCGCAAACACACCAUCACCCUGGCCACCAGCACCAUUCCAGUGUUCCCCUCACGUGGUCGUACUCCCAUGCUACUGCCAAGGCCGUUCCCCACCCCCUCCCCUCGACGCUCCUGCACGGUGCCGCCGAGACGGGCCCAGCUGAGCGCCGCUUGCAGAGCCGGGGGUCGAGGUCGGGGUCGCAGCUGCUGCCGUGGGUCGACUCCCGGGCCGCCGGGCAGUGGUGACUAGACAGAGCUUCUUUUCAGACUGUCGAAGAUGUGGAAAAGAAAUAAGUUAUGUUGCAGUAAAGUUUUGUUCAGUGUUAGUAACAAACCACUGCUUCAUGAUGAUUGGAUGUAUAUGUGUAUGUAUUGAUAAAAUAAAGUUUUUAAGACUA